Molecule: long non-coding RNA, 637 nt
Organism: Spinacia oleracea (spinach)
Lineage: Eukaryota; Viridiplantae; Streptophyta; Magnoliopsida; Caryophyllales; Amaranthaceae
Exons: 4
Source: RefSeq, a predicted model, not a curated record
CGCCAAACCAUAAGAAAACAAAAAAAAACAAAAAAUUGAAUCUCUCUCAAAAGUUUCCUCUUCCCAAACAGAGGCAACAAUAAUCCCUUAGGUUUAGUUUUUCAGAAAAACCAGGUCGGCGUCUCGAUUUCAUCAGAAAACCAGUUAUCAUCUCGAUCGUUAUCUUGCGUUCCAUCAAAUUUGCGCUUCCAAUUUCAUGUGCUUGGGAAUCAGGGCGAGUUGCGGCGGCUUCACUGAGAUUAUAAAUAUAGUGAGGAAGCAUAUAUUGGCCGGUGGAGUGAAUUGAAGCGUCCGUCAUUUACCAUUCCACCCCUUGUAUUUUCCUCCCGAUGAAGAUGAUGGAUUGGAUCUGAUUGCAAAUGAAGAUCAAGUUGAUAGUGAGAAUCAUGCACACAUAAGGAAAAAGAAUUGAAGAUUAAAAGAUACAAGACAUUUAGUUUUGGACUAUACAAGACAUGUUAUGUUUAGAUAUUGAUCAUUUGGUUUUAUUUUGAACAUAAUAAUUUAAUUUUCAUAGAUCAUACAUCAAAUACAGUAGUAUGUAGUUUAUUAGUUUAACCUUCAAAAUUACAUUUACAUAUUCUUGCAAAUAACUAUUUCGUAUUCAUAUUAUUAUUAAUUACUAUUAUUCUUUUUA